UACGGGGGGGGCAAGCGUUGUUCGGAAUUACUGGGCGUAAAGGGUCUGUAGGUGGCCAACUAAGUCAGACGUGAAAUCCCUCAGCUUAACUGGGGAACUGCGUCUGAUACUGGUUGGCUUGAGUGCAGGAGAGGAAUGCGGAAUUCCAGGUGUAGCGGUGAAAUGCGUAGAUAUCAGGAGGAACACCAAUAGCGAAGGCAGCUCGCUGGGACGUUACUGACACUGAGGCGCGAAAGCGUGGGGAGCGAACAGG
RNAcentral lists this ribosomal RNA (253 nucleotides) under uncultured bacterium. RNAcentral's name for it is "partial 16S ribosomal RNA". It matches the Rfam family "Bacterial small subunit ribosomal RNA", at positions 524 to 776 of the family's 1533-position model. The record is from RNAcentral.